AGUGCGCUUCCCGAACUACACCGCGGAGUGUAUGUGCAAAGUUGAACACACGUUCAUCUCGACGACUACCUAUACUGGACAAACUUGCUCAGAACCCAACCAAACCCUGACCCAAACUGGUAUCAUCAUAAUCACCACCACCGUUGGGGGAGGACUGCUCCUGACAGUUUUAGUACUGGUUGCGGUAGUGGUGCUACUCAGGCGAAGUUACAUUGCUACGAAAAACAAAUAUGGGCAGAUUGAAAGUCAAGAAAAGCAGUCAGAUUUGGAUAAUCAGUCAAGCUCUUC
Molecule: long non-coding RNA, 288 nt
Organism: Lingula anatina
Lineage: Eukaryota; Metazoa; Brachiopoda; Lingulata; Lingulida; Lingulidae
Source: RefSeq, a predicted model, not a curated record